UGGCGAACGGGUGAGUAACACGUGAGCAACCUGCCCUGGACUCUGGGAUAAGCGCUGGAAACGGCGUCUAAUACUGGAUAUGAGCUCUCAUCGCAUGGUGGGGGUUGGAAAGAUUUUUCGGUCUGGGAUGGGCUCGCGGCCUAUCAGCUUGUUGGUGAGGUAAUGGCUCACCAAGGCGUCGACGGGUAGCCGGCCUGAGAGGGUGACCGGCCACACUGGGACUGAGACACGGCCCAGACUCCUACGGGAGGCAGCAGUGGGGAAUAUUGCACAAUGGGCGGAAGCCUGAUGCAGCAACGCCGCGUGAGGGAUGACGGCCUUCGGGUUGUAAACCUCUUUUAGCAGGGAAGAAGCGAGAGUGACGGUACCUGCAGAAAAAGCGCCGGCUAACUACGUGCCAGCAGCCGCGGUAAUACGUAGGGCGCAAGCGUUAUCCGGAAUUAUUGGGCGUAAAGAGCUCGUAGGCGGUUUGUCGCGUCUGCUGUGAAAUCCCGAGGCUCAACCUCGGGCCUGCAGUGGGUACGGGCAGACUAGAGUGCGGUAGGGGAGAUUGGAAUUCCUGGUGUAGCGGUGGAAUGCGCAGAUAUCAGGAGGAACACCGAUGGCGAAGGCAGAUCUCUGGGCCGUAACUGACGCUGAGGAGCGAAAGGGUGGGGAGCAAACAGGCUUAGAUACCCUGGUAGUCCACCCCGUAAACGUUGGGAACUAGUUGUGGGGACCAUUCCACGGUUUCCGUGACGCAGCUAACGCAUUAAGUUCCCCGCCUGGGGAGUACGGCCGCAAGGCUAAAACUCAAAGGAAUUGACGGGGACCCGCACAAGCGGCGGAGCAUGCGGAUUAAUUCGAUGCAACGCGAAGAACCUUACCAAGGCUUGACAUACACCAGAACACCGUAGAAAUACGG
RNAcentral lists this ribosomal RNA (904 nucleotides) under Microbacterium proteolyticum. Its description in RNAcentral is "bacterial SSU rRNA". It matches the Rfam family "Bacterial small subunit ribosomal RNA", at positions 96 to 1011 of the family's 1533-position model. Lineage: Bacteria; Bacillati; Actinomycetota; Actinomycetes; Micrococcales; Microbacteriaceae. The record is from RNAcentral.